Molecule: ribosomal RNA, 416 nt
Filed under: uncultured bacterium
Lineage: Bacteria
Description: bacterial SSU rRNA
Rfam family: Bacterial small subunit ribosomal RNA
Source: RNAcentral
UGGGGAAUAUUGCACAAUGGGGGAAAGACCCUGAUGCAGCGACGCCGCGUGGGUGACGAAGUAUUUCAGUAUGUAAAGCCCUAUCAGCAGGGAAGAAACUGACAGUACCUGACUAAGAAGCCCCGGCUAACUACGUGCCAGCAGCCGCGGUAAUACGUAGGGGGCAAGCGUUAUCCGGAUUUACUGGGUGUAAAGGGAGCGUAGACGGAUCUGCAAGUCUGGAGUGAAAGCCCGGGGCUCAACCCCGGGACUGCUUUGGAAACUGUAGGUCUAGAGUGCCGGAGAGGUAAGCGGAAUUCCUAGUGUAGCGGUGAAAUGCGUAGAUAUUAGGAGGAACACCAGUGGCGAAGGCGGCUUACUGGACGGUAACUGACGUUGAGGCUCGAAAGCGUGGGGAGCAAACAGGAUUAGAUACC